CGUGAAAUUGUUGAAAGGGAAGCGCUCAUGACCAGACUUGGGCUUGGUUGAUCAUCCAGGGUUCUCCCUGGUGCACUCUUCCAGCCCAGGCCAGCAUCAGUUCGCUGUGGGGGAUAAAGGCUUUGGGAAUGUGGCUCCUCCGGGAGUGUUAUAGCCCAUUGUGUAAUACCCUGUGGUGGACUGAGGUUCGCGCAUCUGCACGGAUGCUGGCGUAAUGGUCAUCAGCGACCCGUCUUGAAACACGG
RNAcentral lists this ribosomal RNA (245 nucleotides) under Ilyonectria panacis. Its description in RNAcentral is "partial large subunit ribosomal RNA". It matches the Rfam family "Eukaryotic large subunit ribosomal RNA", at positions 398 to 664 of the family's 3401-position model. Lineage: Eukaryota; Fungi; Ascomycota; Sordariomycetes; Hypocreales; Nectriaceae. The record is from RNAcentral.